RNAcentral lists this ribosomal RNA (396 nucleotides) under uncultured bacterium. Its description in RNAcentral is "bacterial SSU rRNA". It matches the Rfam family "Bacterial small subunit ribosomal RNA", at positions 29 to 409 of the family's 1533-position model. The record is from RNAcentral.
AACGAACGCUGGCGGCGUGCCUAACACAUGCAAGUCGUGCGAGAAAGUUCCUUCGGGAGCGAGUAAAGCGGCGCACGGGUGAGUAACACGUAGGUAACCUGCCCCCCAGUCUGGAACAACUAGAGGAAACUCUAGCUAAUGCCGGAUGAGACCACGAUCCCUUCGGGGGUUGCGGCCAAAGAUGGCCUCUACUUGUAAGCUAUCGCUGAGGGAUGGGCCUGCGGGCCAUUAGCUUGUUGGUGAGGUAACGGCUCACCAAGGCUGUGAUGGCUAGCUGGUCUGAGAGGAUGACCAGCCACACUGGGACUGAGACACGGCCCAGACUCCUACGGGAGGCAGCAGUGGGGACUAUUGCGCAAUGGGCGAAGCCUGACGCAGCGACGCCGCGUGGGUGAU